RNAcentral lists this long non-coding RNA (1149 nucleotides) under Homo sapiens (human). RNAcentral describes it as "long intergenic non-protein coding RNA 964". The record is from RNAcentral. Lineage: Eukaryota; Metazoa; Chordata; Mammalia; Primates; Hominidae.
AGAAAUACAGUCCUUGGAGUAGGAGGCUAACAGAGCUAAGGUGAAGGAUCUAAAACCUGAAAAGAGGCCAAAUGAUUCCUCAAAACCACGCAAGUACGAAGUAGCAGAGCGGAUCUCAAAUCCAGAGCACUGCGUGUUUUGAAAUAUACAAAUAGUGGGAAACGAAAUCUUUGUUCUGGAUGCAGUUAUAAUUUGGAAAGCGAGGAAAUAAAUUAUAACAAGGGGAAAAAACAGCACUCCACGAAGAGGCCUUGGCUAGCUGCACAUCUCCCUACAUGGGUAUGUCAAGAUCACCAACUCUGCUUACAGCAGUUCCCAGAUGAAACUCUUCAUAAUUUCAGAUGCACCUUUAAUACCAGUGAAGGUUUACCUCCAGGCCCACAGUCUGGGUCUUUCCAGAGACACCCACAGCAAGAUGUCACCUGCUUUUUGAUGUCAUCAGAGUCAAACACAAACACCCACCACUGUGGUUUCCAUGUCUAAUUCGCAAAUGGCUUUAACUUUGAGCUGGCCCACAAUGUUGUAUUAACCCCACUCAGGUAUCAUCUUUCUCCGUGGGUGAACCCAUAGUGACCUUUCCUUCUGAUUCUUCUUUUACUCUAAGGGCAUGAUUUUGGCAAACUGUCUAUAUGUACACUGGAAACAACUUCAACUUGCUUUUAUGUUGAUUUCACUUCUCCACUUUCAAUGCAGAAAGCUAAUCAGCAAUGCCCUAGGUUACUAAGAGAGGACAAUUCUUUCUUAGCCCAUUGAAUUAUGAGCAUUUUCUUGGAAAUGCAGCAAAAUGUGUUCUGACAGAUGCCUUUGGGUCCCUUGGGUUCUUUGCUAAGACAGCUAUAGAGAGAGGGCUCAAUAAGGUGGGGCCUGUGAUGGGACAUUGUUUUUACUGCACUGGUGAUAGAACAAAAGUCAGACAGGGCACAACACACACUGAUACAACCAAUCACCCAGUCACACUGCAGCCUUAGGAAACCCAUGAGCUUGUGGCAGCAGGCAAACUUGCUUCAGAGUUCCAAGAAUCCAAAUGUUCCUGGUGUGUCUGUUGUCUUGCGAUAUAGACUGAGAUCACAGGAUUGAAGAUACGACCAGAGUCAUGCUGUUGAAAGAGACUGGCUGAGUAGUGAUGAAAAAUAAACUUGGUCAAUCUAU